CCUCGGAAGACGACGAACUCCGCUCCGCCCGACCCCAGGGCUCGGACUCGGGCUCAGAGCACUCUGCUGGGCCGACACUGACACUGAGAGACGAAAGCUAGGGGAGCAAAUGGGAUUAGAGACCCCAGUAGUCCUAGCCGUAAACGAUGGAUACUAGGUGCUGUGCGACUCGACCCGUGCAGUGCUGUAGCUAACGCGUUAAGUAUCCCGCCUGGGGAGUACGUUCGCAAGAAUGAAACUCAAAGGAAUUAACGGGGGCCCGCACAAGCGGUGGAGCAUGUGGUUUAAUUCGAUGCAAAGCGAAGAACCUUCCCCGGAAGACGGCGAACUCCGCUCCGCCCGACCCCAGGGCUCGGACUCGGGCUCAGCCCCGGAAGACGGCGAACUCCGCUCCGCCCGACCCCAGGGCUCGGACUCAGCCCUGGCCUCAGCCGACGGUCUCUGCCUCGCCCGACCCGGGGGCUCGGACUCGACCUCGGCCUCG
This 484-nucleotide non-coding RNA is filed under the name Zea mays. Its description in RNAcentral is "Bacterial small subunit ribosomal RNA". It matches the Rfam family "Bacterial small subunit ribosomal RNA", at positions 696 to 1038 of the family's 1533-position model. The record is from Rfam by way of RNAcentral. Lineage: Eukaryota; Viridiplantae; Streptophyta; Magnoliopsida; Poales; Poaceae.